AAGGUAUUAGCUUAAUUAAAGUAUCUGCUUUGCAUGCAGAAGAUGUGGGGUAAUAUCCCGCAUGCCUUA
This 69-nucleotide transfer RNA is filed under the name Cirrhitichthys aprinus (spotted hawkfish). RNAcentral's name for it is "tRNA-Ala". It matches the Rfam family "tRNA". Rfam says of the family: Transfer RNA (tRNA) molecules are approximately 80 nucleotides in length. Their secondary structure includes four short double-helical elements and three loops (D, anti-codon, and T loops). Lineage: Eukaryota; Metazoa; Chordata; Actinopteri; Centrarchiformes; Cirrhitidae. The record is from RNAcentral.